Molecule: ribosomal RNA, 491 nt
Filed under: uncultured bacterium
Lineage: Bacteria
Description: bacterial SSU rRNA
Rfam family: Bacterial small subunit ribosomal RNA
Source: RNAcentral
GAUGAACGCUAGCUACAGGCUUAACACAUGCAAGUCGAGGGGAAACGACAUCGAAAGCUUGCUUUUGGUGGGCGUCGACCGGCGCACGGGUGAGUAACGCGUAUCCAACCUGCCCACCACUUGGGGAUAACCUUGCGAAAGUAAGACUAAUACCCAAUGAUAUCCCACGAAGGCAUCCGAAUGGGAUUAAAGAUUUAUCGGUGAUGGAUGGGGAUGCGUCUGAUUAGCUUGUUGGCGGGGUAACGGCCCACCAAGGCUACGAUCAGUAGGGGUUCUGAGAGGAAGGUCCCCCCACAUUGGAACUGAGACACGGUCCAAACUCCUACGGGAGGCAGCAGUGAGGAAUAUUGGUCAAUGGGCGAGAGCCUGAACCAGCCAAGUAGCGUGCAGGAUGACGGCCCUAUGGGUUGUAAACUGCUUUAUAAGGGAAUAAAGUGGGUCUCGUGAGACUUUUUGCAUGUACCUUAUGAUAAGGACCGGCUAAUUCCGUG